RNAcentral lists this unclassified non-coding RNA (227 nucleotides) under Hevea brasiliensis (rubber tree). Lineage: Eukaryota; Viridiplantae; Streptophyta; Magnoliopsida; Malpighiales; Euphorbiaceae. The record is from RNAcentral.
GUGACUUAGAGAAACUACCAUGGAUAAUCGUUCAAUCAGCCUCAUAAAUUUUGUAUCUCUGCUUUUCCAUUUUCUUAUAAGCAUCUGCCUCACCAAUGCCUUGUACUGUUAUCAGACAGGAAACUUCACAACCAAUAGCACCUAUGCAAAGAACCGGGCUCUGGUCCUCUCUUCUCUAGCUUCAAAUGUCACGGCAAAUGGUGGUUUCUACACCGCCACAGUGGGCC